UUAGCCAAUGCUCACAUCAUUUUCAUAUACUCUUUUGAAAUCACCUCUUACUGGUCCUGAGAAGAAUGCCAUGAUUAACUUUUACAAAUGAAGGUUUAUAAGCCCCAACCAAAAAAAAAAAAAAAGGAACUUCAGAUCCACCAUUGAACAGGAGAUUUCUUCCAGAUUACGUGCUUAUUACUGUGGCCAGCUUGCCUUUAAAAGCUCUUUCACAAUUAGAGAUGAAAACGCCAUCCUUCUGCAGAGGCAGCCCUAGCUGUAGAGGGCUGGAGACAUGGCCCAGGCAAAGGAUAUCAAAGGUAUGUGUCAAUCAAACCUCCCACAGGCCAGUGCUCUUCAUCAUGAAAUGCAAAGGGAGAUGUUGGCAGAUACAGGAUUCUGGCCACAGCUGAGUGCUCAGUAUGUUUCUAAAUGAUAGCUGUCCUUGAUCUCCUUUGGUGCUUGCCUCAAAUUGGAAUCUUUGCCCCUGCGUCUUUACCUAAAACUGUCAAGUGCUAACUUAGAUCAGUCCAACCCAGAACAACAAAACCGGAAUCUGGGGGGAUGCCUGGCCAUCGUGUGUGUGUACAUGUAUGUGUGUGUGUGUGUAUGGUGUGUAUCGAGGACGGGGAGUGAACUGUGGCUUCAUAUUUCCACCCAGAUUUGGGGGAGGAAGGGAGGCAAGAAAUUGCUGACCGGAGGAAUUUGAAUGCUAGAGAAGCUGGCCAUUUGCUGUGUCUUCCCUCAUAUUUACUUCAACUGUUGUUAGGCAGUUCCUCCCACUCGCCUAAGACCCGUCUUCCUAAAUGGAGAAUUCCUCACACCCGGCCUCAACGGGAGGUGAAACCUGGGCUGCAUUUGAAGGGACUUAGCCUAACCGCAAGAGAUUCAUGUUUCCUGUGCCUCCAACUCAAAGUCAGAUUGCUAUGGGGGCGUGGAUCUUAACAUAACUAUCCAAACCCAAGAACAGCC
RNAcentral lists this long non-coding RNA (951 nucleotides) under Homo sapiens (human). Its description in RNAcentral is "non-protein coding lnc-SLC44A3-3:1". Lineage: Eukaryota; Metazoa; Chordata; Mammalia; Primates; Hominidae. The record is from RNAcentral.